GGGGCCGUAGUCUAGCCUGGUAGGAUGCGUGGCUUGGGACCGCGAGGCAAGAGCCCACGUGAUCCCGGGUUCAAAUCCCGGCGGCCCCA
Molecule: transfer RNA, 89 nt
Filed under: Pyrobaculum aerophilum str. IM2
Lineage: Archaea; Thermoproteati; Thermoproteota; Thermoprotei; Thermoproteales; Thermoproteaceae
Rfam family: tRNA
About the family: Transfer RNA (tRNA) molecules are approximately 80 nucleotides in length. Their secondary structure includes four short double-helical elements and three loops (D, anti-codon, and T loops).
Source: Rfam by way of RNAcentral